This is a long non-coding RNA of Glycine soja, 1088 nucleotides long. RefSeq lists it as uncharacterized. NCBI's taxonomy places the organism in Eukaryota, Viridiplantae, Streptophyta, Magnoliopsida, Fabales, Fabaceae. The transcript is spliced from 2 exons. The record is from RefSeq and is a predicted model, not a curated record.
UUAGAUUUGAGAAAGAAAAAUUAGAUUAGAAACAGGAAAAUGUUGGUAGAACAAAAAUAGUAAAAUAUUACUUUGUCAAAUAUAUUUCAGAAUGCCACGCUCUCGUCCGUCGUUAUCACGUUGGAUCAACCUCAAUGAGAAACUGGAGCAGCUUCUUGCGACUGUGCCCAAUGAGAAUUAACAUAUAGUUGCUUGAAUGUUAAUUUUGUUAAUUGCUUGAAUGCCUAUUAAUUGCUUGAAUGUUAAUUAUGUCAAAAUUAACAAUUGAAGAGCACGGAGAAUGGAGGGAAAUGGCAAACAUGAUGCAGAAUGUAACGGUUCCACUAGAGACUUUUUUUCCAGAUCGAUCACGCCAGGGAUCCGGUCAUGUUCAUUUUGAUUUAAUUAACUAUUGAUUUUUCUGUUAUUUCGUGUAACUAACCAACCUUAUUUUGUGAUGUCAAAUGUAGAUUUUCGGUGAAGUUAGUAAGGUAUAUGCUCUCAGGUGGAAGGACGUACUUGACGGCAUAUGGCAUUUGGUUGACAAGGACGGAAAUUAUCAUAAUGUUGUCUACAAUAAAGAUUUGGACCAACCAGCCAUUGUAGUAGGGUGAACAACACUACGAGAUUUUUACCAGCUGACUAGAGAUCAUCUAGUAUCCUUAACUCAUUAUGGUAAGAGUGCAUUUUUUCUUAUCAUAUUCAAGACCAGUUGUCUGCCCAGAUCAUUCUCAAGAUGACACUCUUUAUACCAUCAAGUGCCAGAUUCUGUCACCUUCAAGGUUUAUCUCACUCGGCAGAAAGCUACCUGUAACAGUCUGGACAUUCCAAGUAGUAUAUAUUAUUUUCUUAAAAACAAAAGCUGGACUCAUUUGCACUUGGAGGACGUUGUAAAAUGCCGGCUUGUGUUCAAUCAUUGGAGGAAAACACUUAAAAUUGGAGCUGGAUGGAAACAUUUCUGCCAAACCUUGUCCUUGACAGCUGACAUGAAAAUAAUUUUUUAAUUCAUUGAUCCCAAUGUUAACCGUGUGCUUUAUUGGCCAUGUUUAUGAACAUUUUAAUUACUAUGAACAUUUCAAUUAUUAUGAACAUUUUAAUUAUUAUGAACA